RNAcentral lists this ribosomal RNA (738 nucleotides) under Elsinoe violae. RNAcentral's name for it is "eukaryotic LSU rRNA". It matches the Rfam family "Eukaryotic large subunit ribosomal RNA", at positions 133 to 891 of the family's 3401-position model. The record is from RNAcentral. Lineage: Eukaryota; Fungi; Ascomycota; Dothideomycetes; Myriangiales; Elsinoaceae.
GGCGUCCGAGUUGUAAUUUGUAGAGGAUGCUAUUGAGUUGUCACCGGUCUAAGUUCCUUGGAACAGGACGUCAUAGAGGGUGAGAAUCCCGUAUGUGACCGGCCAGACGCUCUCUGUAUAGCUCCUUCGACGAGUCGGGUUGUUUGGGAAUGCAGCCCUAAAUGGGAGGUAAAUUUCUUCUAAAGCUAAAUACCGGCCAGAGACCGAUAGCGCACAAGUAGAGUGAUCGAAAGAUGAAAAGCACUUUGGAAAGAGAGUUAAAAAGCACGUGAAAUUGUUGAAAGGGAAGCGCUUGCAAUCAGUCUCGACGGCGGCUGUUCGACCUCUCUUCUGAGUGGUUUAUUCAGUCGCCGCCGGGCCAGCAUCAGUUCUGGCGGCCGGACAAAGGCGCAGGGAAUGUAGCUCCUCUCGGGGAGUGUUAUAGCCCUGUGUGCAAUACGGCCUGCCGGGACUGAGGUCCGCGCUUCGGCUAGGAUGCUGGCGAAAUGGUUGUAAGCGGCCCGUCUUGAAACACGGACCAAGGAGUCUAACAUCUAUGCGAGUGUUUGGGUGUCAAACCCGUACGCGUAAUGAAAGUGAACGGAGGUGGGAACCGCAAGGUGCACCAUCGACCGAUCCUGAUGUCUUCGGAUGGAUUUGAGUAAGAGCAUAGCUGUUGGGACCCGAAAGAUGGUGAACUAUGCCUGAAUAGGGUGAAGCCAGAGGAAACUCUGGUGGAGGCUCGCAGCGGUUCUGACG